This 481-nucleotide ribosomal RNA is filed under the name uncultured bacterium. RNAcentral's name for it is "partial 16S ribosomal RNA". It matches the Rfam family "Bacterial small subunit ribosomal RNA", at positions 28 to 507 of the family's 1533-position model. The record is from RNAcentral.
GAUGAACGCUGGCGGCGUGCUUAACACAUGCAAGUCGAACGAAGCACUUUAUUUGAUUUCCUUCGGGACUGAUUAUUUUGUGACUGAGUGGCGGACGGGUGAGUAACGCGUGGGUAACCUGCCUUGUACAGGGGGAUAACAGUUGGAAACGGCUGCUAAUACCGCAUAAGCGCACAGCAUCGCAUGAUGCAGUGUGAAAAACUCCGGUGGUAUAAGAUGGACCCGCGUUGGAUUAGCUAGUUGGUGAGGUAACGGCCCACCAAGGCGACGAUCCAUAGCCGACCUGAGAGGGUGGCCGGCCACAUUGGGACUGAGACACGGCCCAAACUCCUACGGGAGGCAGCAGUGGGGAAUAUUGCACAAUGGGCGAAAGCCUGAUGCAGCGACGCCGCGUGAGCGAAGAAGUAUUUCGGUAUGUAAAGCUCUAUCAGCAGGGAAGAUAAUGACGGUACCUGACUAAGAAGCACCGGCUAAAUACGUG